This 81-nucleotide transfer RNA is filed under the name Candidatus Kaiserbacteria bacterium RIFCSPHIGHO2_01_FULL_46_22. RNAcentral's name for it is "tRNA-Leu". It matches the Rfam family "tRNA". Rfam says of the family: Transfer RNA (tRNA) molecules are approximately 80 nucleotides in length. Their secondary structure includes four short double-helical elements and three loops (D, anti-codon, and T loops). The record is from RNAcentral. RNAcentral also lists the same sequence under 1 other name. Lineage: Bacteria; Candidatus Kaiseribacteriota.
GCUGGAGUGGUGGAAUGGUAUACACGUGCGACUCAAAAUCGCAUGGCGCAAGCCUUGAGGGUUCAAGUCCCUCCUCCAGCA